RNAcentral lists this ribosomal RNA (253 nucleotides) under uncultured bacterium. RNAcentral describes it as "partial 16S ribosomal RNA". It matches the Rfam family "Bacterial small subunit ribosomal RNA", at positions 524 to 776 of the family's 1533-position model. The record is from RNAcentral.
UACAGAGGGUGCAAGCGUUAAUCGGAAUAACUGGGCGUAAAGGGUGCGUAGGUGGUUACUUAAGUUGGAUGUGAAAUCCCCGGGCUUAACCUGGGAACUGCAUUCAAUACUGGGUAGCUUGAGUAGAAUAGAGGGGAGUGGAAUUUCCGGUGUAGCGGUGGAAUGCGUAGAUAUCGGAAGGAACACCAGUGGCGAAGGCGGCUCCCUGGAUUCAUACUGACACUGAGGCACGAAAGCGUGGGGAGCAAACAGG